CCUACGGGUGGCAGCAGUGGGGAAUAUUGGACAAUGGGCGAAAGCCUGAUCCAGCCAUGCCGCGUGUGUGAAGAAGGCCUUCGGGUUGUAAAGCACUUUCAGUGGGGAAGAAAGCCUUGGGGCUAAUACCCUCGAGGAAGGACAUCACCCACAGAAGAAGCACCGGCUAACUCCGUGCCAGCAGCCGCGGUAAUACGGAGGGUGCGAGCGUUAAUCGGAAUUACUGGGCGUAAAGCGCGCGUAGGCGGUCUGAUAAGCUGGUUGUGAAAGCCCCGGGCUCAACCUGGGAACGGCAUCCGGAACUGUCAGGCUAGAGUGCAGGAGAGGAAGGUAGAAUUCCCGGUGUAGCGGUGAAAUGCGUAGAGAUCGGGAGGAAUACCAGUGGCGAAGGCGGCCUUCUGGACUGACACUGACGCUGAGGUGCGAAAGCGUGGGUAGCAAACAGGAUUAGAUACCCUUGUAGUC
Molecule: ribosomal RNA, 465 nt
Filed under: Vreelandella stevensii
Lineage: Bacteria; Pseudomonadati; Pseudomonadota; Gammaproteobacteria; Oceanospirillales; Halomonadaceae
Description: partial 16S ribosomal RNA
Rfam family: Bacterial small subunit ribosomal RNA
Source: RNAcentral